GACGAACGCUGGCGGCGUGCCUAAUACAUGCAAGUCGAACGAACCGCGACUAAGUGCUUGCACUAAGUCAAGGUGAGUGGCGAACGGGUGAGUAACACGUGGGUAACCUACCUCAUAGUGGGGGAUAACAGUCGGAAACGACUGCUAAUACCGCAUAGGACAUAGGCUCACAUGAUCCAGUGAGGAAAGGUGGCGCAAGCUAUCGCUAAGAGAUGGACCCGCGGUGCAUUAGCUAGUUGGUAGGGUAAAGGCCUACCAAGGCGAUGAUGCAUAGCCGACCUGAGAGGGUGAUCGGCCACAUUGGGACUGAGACACGGCCCAAACUCCUACGGGAGGCAGCAGUAGGGAAUCUUCCGCAAUGGACGCAAGUCUGACGGAGCAACGCCGCGUGAGUGAAGAAGGUCUUCGGAUCGUAAAGCUCUGUUAUUAGAGAAGAACAUCGCAUAGAGUAACUGCUAUGCGCGUGACGGUAUCUAACCAGAAAGCCACGGCUAACUACGUG
Molecule: ribosomal RNA, 502 nt
Filed under: uncultured bacterium
Lineage: Bacteria
Description: partial 16S ribosomal RNA
Rfam family: Bacterial small subunit ribosomal RNA
Source: RNAcentral